RNAcentral lists this transfer RNA (77 nucleotides) under Bacilli bacterium. Its description in RNAcentral is "tRNA-Pro". It matches the Rfam family "tRNA". Rfam says of the family: Transfer RNA (tRNA) molecules are approximately 80 nucleotides in length. Their secondary structure includes four short double-helical elements and three loops (D, anti-codon, and T loops). Further hydrogen bonds mediate the characteristic L-shaped molecular structure. tRNAs have two regions of fundamental functional importance: the anti-codon, which is responsible for specific mRNA codon recognition, and the 3' end, to which the tRNAs corresponding amino acid is attached (by aminoacyl-tRNA synthetases). tRNAs cope with the degeneracy of the genetic code in two manners: having more than one tRNA (with a specific anti-codon) for a particular amino acid; and 'wobble' base-pairing, i.e. permitting non-standard base-pairing at the 3rd anti-codon position. RNAcentral also lists the same sequence under 2 other names. Lineage: Bacteria; Bacillati; Bacillota; Bacilli. The record is from RNAcentral.
CGGGAAGUGGCUCAAUUUGGUAGAGCACUUGGUUUGGGACCAAGGGGUUGCAGGUUCAAAUCCUGUCUUCCCGACCA